CUUAGGUGACAGAGCAAGAUUCUAGUUUUAUUUUGUUGUUGUUGUUUUUUUUUUAAAUAAAUUCUAAAGAAAAUCAUUCAGACUGAAAAGGAAUGAAACUGGAAGAUAGUACUUGAAUCACUACAAAGAAAUAGCAUCAAUAAAGGUAAUUAUAUAGAUAAAUAUAAGAAAUAGUAUAAAUAUACUUUUUACUUUUUUCUUCUCUAAAUGGAGUUAAAAGACAAUUGAAUAAAAACAGUAAUCAUAUAAGUUUAUUUUGGCAUUAUAACAUAUAUAAAUAUAAUUUCUAUUACAAUAAUACAAAGGAGGGGAGAGAAAAUGAUGCUAUAUUGGAACAAAGUUUCUAUAUACUAAAGUUAGUAUUAAUCAAAGCUAGAUUGUUUCAAAUGAGCAUGUAUAUUGCAAUUCCUAGAGCAACCACUAAGAAUAUUACUCAAAAGACUAGUGCUAAAACACCAACAAAGUAAAAUGAUGCAAUUAUAAAAUACAUAUUUAACACAAACGGAGGCUGUAAAGAAGCAAUACAGCAACCAAAAACAUGAGACAUGUAGAACACAGUCAAAUGACAGCUAUAAAUCCAACCAUUAAAUAUAAACCAUAUAAGUCCAACAUUAAAUAUAAAUGGAGUAAACCCUUUAAUCAGAAGUGAAAAAUUAUAACAUUGGAUGAAAAAACAGGAUCCAACUACAUGCUAUCUACCUCUCCUCAUCAGCAAAAUAAGGAGAAAAUCCUAGGAGCAAGCCCUAGGUUACCUAAAAAUUUCUUUGCAUUCUAGAAUUCCUUAAUUCUAUCAAAAACAGUGGUUUUCCUCCAAAAUAGAUUAGCCAACAUCACACUACUCCAAGUGUAGGUCUAAAAGGAAUUGACCAGCCUGGGCAACAUGAAAAAAAAAACAAAAAAAACCUGUCUUUACAAAAAAAAUUCAACAAUUAUCCAGGUGUGGUGAUGUGUACCUGUAGUCCCAGCUAUUUGAGAGGUUGAGGUGGGAGGGUCACUCAAGCCUGGGAGGCAGAGGUUGCAGUGAGCCACUGCACUCCAGCCUAGGGUGGCAGAGCAAGACCCUGUCUCAACAGCAACAAAAAAAGAUAUCCCUAGAAGAUAUCAUUGGUUUCUUCGGGUAUGCCCUAUAUAAAUGGAGAGGAUGAAGUAAAGUUACAAAGUCAUUUAUUUGGUGUAUGCCUCAUGGAGAGGUUAUUUCCUCUCAUAGCUGAAGUGUGAAUCGGCCUUAUGUUCCUUGUCUCCAGACCCUAUUUUCCUGCCUCACCACCACUUACCCAAAGUCAACCAAUCAGUGCUACAGUCUGUUUCCUGGGGGAUCUCCUCAGUUUCGUCCCUUCCUCGUUGCCAGAAAGAUGUUACCCAGAAAGGGGUCCCAAGCCAGACCCCAAGAGAGGGUUCCUGGGUCUCAAGAAAGAAAGAAUUCAGAGUGAGUACAUAAAGUGAAAACAAGUUUAUUAAGAAAGUAGAGGAAUAAAAGAAUGGCUACACCAUAGACAUUGCAGCCCCGAGGGCUCCUGGGUGCCCAUUUUUAUGGUUCCUUCCUUCCUUCCUUCCUUCCUUCCUUCCUUCCUUCCUUCCUUCCUUCCUUUCUUUCUCUUUUUGAGUCAGAGUCUCUCUCUGUCGCCCAGGCUGGAGUGCAGUGGCGCAAUCUCGGCUCAUUGCAACCUCCACCUCCUGAGUUCAUGCCAUUCUCCUGCUUCAGCCUCCCGAGUAGCUGGGACUACAGGCGCCCACCACCACGCCUGGCUAAUUUUUUUUUUUUUUGUAUUUUAGUAGAGACGGGGUUUCACCAUGUUGGCCAGGAUGGUCUCGAUCUCCUGACCUCAUGAUCAACCCGCCACGGCCUCCCAAAGUGCUGGGAUUACAGGCAUGAGCCACUGCGCCCAGGCUUAUUUCUUUAUUAUAUGCUAAACAAAGGGUGGAUUAUCCAUGGUUCCCUUUUUCAGACCAUAUAGGGUAACUUCCUGAUACUGUCAUGGCAUUUGUAAACUGUCAUGGCACUGGUGAGAGUGUAGCAGUGAGGACAACAAGAGGUUACUCUUGUCACCAUCUUGGUUUUGCUGGAUCAAAUGGUAGAUCUACUUUUAGUUCUUUAUAAAUCUUCAUACUGUUUUCCAUAAAGGUUGUACUAAUUUACAUUCCCACCAGCAGUGUAUAAUAAUUCCCCUUUUACCAUCCCCACCAACAUCUAUAAACAUUAAGUUUAUUAAUAGCUGUAUGUUUUUAGUAGAUGAUCUUUAUCAAUUUGAAGCAGUUCCCUUCUAUUCCUGUUUUCCUGAAAGUUUUUUUUUAUUAUCAUGAAUGAGUGUUAAAUUUUGUCAAAUUUGUUUCUGCUUUGAUUAAUAUGAUCAUGUAACUUUUCUUGUUUAGCUUGUUAUUAUGGGGUAGUUAACCCAUUGGCUUUUUUUUUGGAGACAGGGUCUGGAGUGCAGUCAUAUGAUCAUAGCUCACUGUAACCUAGAACUCCUGGGCUCAAGCAAUUUUUCUGCCUCAGCCUCCUGAGUAGCUGGGGUUACAGGCACACACCACCAUACCUGGCUAUUUUUUUUUAUUCUUUCAUAGAGUUAAGGUCUUGCUAAGUUUCCCAGGCUGUUCUUGAACCCCUGACCUCAAGUGAUCCUCCCACUUCGGCCUCCCAUAGUGGUGGUAUCACAGGUGUGAGCCACUGCACCCAGCCCCAUUGACUUUUUUUUUUCUUUUUUUUUUUUUUUUUUUGAGACAGUGUCUCACUCUGUCACCCAGGCUGGAGUGCAGUGGCACGAUCUCGGCUCACUGCAACCUCUGCCUCCCAGGUUCAAGUGAUUCUCCUGCCUCAGCCUCCUGAGUAGCUGGGAUUACAGACAUCCACUACCACGCCUGGCUAAUUUUUGUAUUUUUAGUAGAGACGGGGUUUUACCAUGUUGGUCAGGCUGGUCUUAACUCCUGACUUCGUGAUCUGCCCGCCUCGGCCUCCCAAAGUUCUGGGAUUACAGGCGUGAGCCACUGCGCCCGGCCUGCCCCAUUGACUUUUAAUGUAAUUCUGAUAUGUUAGGACUUAUGUCUGCCAUUUUAUUUUUUUUCUGCAUAUUCUAUUUGUCUUUUUCUGCCUUCCUGUGGGUUAUGUCAACUUUUUUUUUUUUUUUAGAAUUCUAUUUUGUUUUAUCUAUAGUGUUUGUGAGUACAUCUCUUUAUGCAGCUUUUUAAAGUGAUUGCUCUAGGCAUUACAUUACAUUACACACACACACACAGAUUUGCCUCUUGCAAAAUAUAUAUUUGUUGAUUUUCUUAAUUCGAAUAAAAUAUUAGGUAGUGUCCUUGAAAAUUGGGAAAUUUGUGUCAGCUGAUCAAACUUCAGAGAAAGAUCUCCUUAUAUUUAGGGUUGUCUCUCACAUCAAGAAAAAUAUAAACUGGCUGCAAGGUCAAGAUAUAUUUUGGGCCAUUGGAAUCGGCAUCCCCAAAGGUGUUGCUGUGAGGACUGAACAAGGGUGGAAUGCUAAAUAUUUAACAUUAGGAAGGCCAAGCAAUAGUUAAGCAUAACAAAUAUCAGCCAUGGUGCUGGAGCAAGGUCAUAAAGGUCCCCUGCUUGGCUCAUUAAGUUGCUAUUUUGUAGGGAAGUCCAGGGGGCGCCUGGCAGGAAGAGGCACAGGGCUGCCAAGGUUGCUUUGGGUAAUGGCUGUUUUACCAACGAGAACAGAGAAAAUCCAAUAUGUACUAUGAUGGCACAGGCCUUAUAUUGAAAAAUAUUAUUGUAGGUAAAAUGCUUAGCACAAAGCCUGGCACUUAGUUAAGUGCUCAGUUAAUGGCCAUUCUUAUUCUACUACUUCCUCCUUUCCCUUCCCGCUCCUCUUCCUCCUUCUUGUUUUUGUUCACUAUAUUGCAUUACCCAAAAACAAAUAUCUGGCCUACAAUGUUGAGUAUAAAGUUUCUUUUCUGUCAAAAUUUUUGGCCCUUCAUGAAGCUAUAUCAGAGGUUCCUCAACUUUCUUGGGUCUCUUUGUGUCUCAGCAACUAUUUUAUGCUCUAGGCCAAAAGAAAUACUCAAUUGUUCUAUUUAUUAAAUACAUAGAUCCAAACAACCCACUACUGGGUAUCUAUCCAAAGGAAAAGAAGUCAUUAUAUAAAAAAGACACCUACACUCAUAUGUUUAUCACGGCCCAAUUCACAAUUGCAAAGAUACAGAAUCAACCUAAAUACCCAUCCAUGAGUGGAUAAAGAAAAUGUGAGAUAUAUAUGGAUAGAUAGAUAGAGAGAGGGACAGAUAGAUGAUCCAGAUAUAGAUAUAUAAUGGAAUACUACUACUCAGGCAUUAAAAAGAACAAAAUAGUGUCUUUUGUGCAACUUGGAUAGAACGGGGGGCAAUUAUCCUAAGUGAAGUAACUCAGGAAUGGAAAAUAAAAUACCAUGUGUUCUCACUUAUAAGUGGGACCUAAGCUGUGGGUAUGCAAAGGCAUACAGAGUGGUAUAAUGGACAUUGGAGUCUCAGAAGGGGAUAGGGUGGGAGAGGACUAAGGGAUGAAUAACCAUCUAGUGGGUAUAAUAUACACCAUUUGGGUGAUGUGUACACUAAAAUCACAGACUUCACCACUAUAUAAUUCAACCUUGUAACCAAAAAUAACUUGUACUACUAAAGCUAUUGAAACUAAAAAUAAUUUUUUUAAAGAAAAAUGGCACAGAAAAUAGAGUUUCCAAGACAGCCAGAGCAAGAUAGCUGAACAGAAGCCUGCAUUGAUUGUCCUCCCUAGAGGAACACCAAACUUAACAACUAUCCACACAAAAAAGCACCUUCAUAAGAAUGAAGCAUUAGGUAAGUGAGCACAGUAAUUGGUUUGACUUCAUAUUAGUGAAAGAGGAACUGAAGAGGGUAGGAAAGAAAGUCUUGAACUGCUGAUGCCACCCUUCUCCCAUCCCCUGGCAGUGACCACAUGAUGCAGAGAGGAAAUCUGCACUUGGGGAAGGGAAAGCACCGUAAUUGUGGGAUCUUUGCAUUGAAACUUAGUGCUUCCCUGUCACAGUAGAAAGUCAUACUGGGCAGAAAUCUGCUGGUGCCCACACAGAAAGUAUUUAGACCAGCUAUGCCAGAGGCAAAUCAUCCAUCCCAGUGUUUGGAACCUGAGUUCUGGCAAGUCUUGCCACCAUGGGCUAAAGUGCUAUGGGUCCUAAAUAAAUUUGAAAGUCAGUCUAGGCUUCAAGAACUGCAAUUACUGGACAAGUCCUGGUGCUGUGUUGGGCUCAGAGCCAGUGGACUUGGGGGGCAGGAGACCUAGUGAGACACCGGCCAAGGCAGCCAAGGGAAUGCCUGUGCCAUCCUCCUCCAAACACAAGCAGUGCAGCUGGCAGCUCUGGGAGAGACUUCUUUCUUCUGCUUGAAAAGAGGGGAGAAAAGAGUAAAAAAAAAAACAAAAACCUAAAAGCUACAAGAGAAAAGAAACAGAUAAUAUACAAUGGAGCUCCAAUAUGUGUCUGGUAGCAGACUUCUCAGCAAAAACCUUAUAGGCCAGCAGAAAGUAGCAUGACAUAUUUAAAGGGCUGAAGGAAAAUAACUUUUAUUCCAGAAUAGUAUAUCCAGCAAAAAUAUCUUUCAAACAUGAAGGAGAAAUGAAGACUUUCCCAGACAAACAAAAGAUGCAGGAUUUCAUCAUCACCAGGCCUGUCCUACAAGAAAUGCUAAAGUUCUUCAGUCCAAAAGAAGAGGAUGUUAAUGAACAAUAAAUCUCUGAAGGUACAAAACUCACUGGUAGUAGUAAAUACACAGAAAAACACAGACUGUUAUGACUGUAAUUGCAGUGUGUAAACUACUCAUAUCUUCAAUAGAAAGACUAAAAGAUAAACUGAUCAAAAAUAAUAACUAAAAUAAUGUAUUAGUCCAUUCUUACACGGCUCUAAAGAAAUGCCUGAGACUGGGUAAUUUACAAAGAAAAAGAGGUUUAAUUGGCUCACAGUUCCACAGGUUUUGGAGCAAGAGGAAGAGAGAGUGGGGGAGGUGCCAUACACUUUAAACAACCAGAUCUCGUGAGAACUCUAUCACAAGAACAGCACCAAAUGGGGAAGUCUGCCCCGAUGAUCUAAUCACCUCCCACCAGGCCCCUCCUCCAACAUUGGGGAUUACAAUUUGACAUGAAAUUGGGCAGGAACAUAAAUCCAAACCAUGUCAAAUAACUUUUUAAGACAUAGACAGUACAAAAAGAUGUAAAUAGAAACAACAAAAAGUUAAAAAGUUGGGGGAUGAAGUUAAAGUGUUGAGUUUUCAUUAGUAUGCUCUUGCCUUGUUAGUUCUUUUUGUUGUUUAUGUAAUUAGUGUUGAGUUGUCAUUAGUUUAAAAUAAUGGAUUAUGAGAUAUUUGCAAGUAUCAUUGCAUACCACCAGAGAAAAUUACCUUCAGUAAAAGGAAGACAGGGAGAAAGGAAAGAAGGAAGAGCAGGCCACAAACCAGAAAACAAAUAACAAGAUGACAGUAAUAAAUUCUUAUCAAUAAUAACAUUGAAUGUAACUGGACUAAACUCUCCAAUCAGAAGACAUAGAGUGGCUGAACUGAUUUAAAAAAAAAAAAAGAAAAAAAACCCAAGACCUAGAAUAUGUCACCUACAAGAAACACAUUUUACCUAUAAAAACAUACAUAGACUGGCUAUAAAGUGAUGGAAAAAGAUAUACCAUGCCAGUGAAAACCAAAAAAGAGAAGGAGUAGCUAGACUUAUGUCAGACAAAAUACAUUUCAAGACAAAAACUAUAAAAAGAGACCAAGAAGGUAAUUAUAAAAUGAUAAAAGGGUCAAUUCAGCAAGAGGAUAUAACAAUUGAAAAUACAUAUGCACCCAAUAUUGGAGCACCUAGAAAUAUAAAGCAAAUAUCGUUAUAGAUAAAGAGAGAUCUAGACUUCAAUACAAUAAUAGCUGGAGAGUUCAACACUCCACUUUCAGCAUUGGACAGACCAACCAGACAGAAAAUGAAAAGAGGAACAUCAGACUUAAUCUUAUUAGGCCAAAUGGACCUAAUAAACAUCUACAGAACAUUUCAUCCCAUGGCUGCAAAAUAAACAUUCUUCUAAGCACAUGGAUCAUUAUUAAUGAUAGGCUAUAUGUUAGGCCACUAAACCAGUCUUUAAACAUCAAAAAAUAUUGAAAUUAUGUCAAGUAUAUUCUCUGACCACAAUGGAAUUAAACUAGAAAUCAAUAACAAGAGGAAUUUUGGAAACUAUACAAACACACAGAAAUUAAACAAUAUACACUUGAAUGACCAGUAGGUCAAUGAAGAAAUUAAGAAGAAAAUUUAAAAAUUUAUUGAAACAAAUAAUAAUGGAAACAUAACAUACCAAAACCUGUAGGAUAUAGGAAAAGCAGUACUAAGUGGAAAGUUGGUAGCUAUAAGUGCCUACAUCAAAAAAGUAGGAAAACUUCAAAUAAAAAAAUGAUUUAUCUUAAAGAACUAGAAAAGCAAGAGCAAACGAAACCCAAAAUUAGUAGGGAAAAUAUUAAAAAAGAUAAAAACAGAACUAAAUAAAAUUGAAACAAAGAAUACAAAAGAUCCACAAAAUGUAAAGUUGGUGUUUUGAAAAGAGAAAGUCAAACCUUUAGUCAGACUUAAAAAAAGAGAGAGAGAAGAUCUAAAUAAAUAAAAUUAGAAAUUAAAAAAGGGACAUUAAAACUAAUACCACAGAAAUUAGGAGGAUUAUUAGAGGCUAUUGGUUAUUCAAGUGUAUAUUGGGAGCAGUAGCCUCUAAUAAAUUGGAAAAACCAAUAUAUUGGAAAAACCUAGAAGAAAUGGAUAAAUUCCUUAACACUACAGCCUACCAAGAUUUAACUAUGAAAAAAUUCAAAACCCGAACAGAGCAAUAACAAGUAACAAGAUCAAAGCUGUAAUAAAGUCUCCCAGCAAAGGAAAGCCUGGGCCCUGAUGGGUUUUCUGCUGAAUUUUACCAAACAUUUAAAGAAGAAUGAAUAGAAGUUCUAUUCAAACUAUUCCAAAAAAAUAGGUGAGGAGUAAAUACUUACAAACUUAUUCUAUGAGGCUAGUAUUACCCUGAUACCAAAAUCAGACAAAGACAUAUCAAAAAGAGAAAACUACAGGCCGAUAUCCCUAAUGAACAUUGAUGCAAAAAUCCUUAACCAAGUACUAGCAAACUGAAUUUAAGAAUACAUUUAAAAGAUCAUUUUUUGUGACCAAAUGGGAUUUAUCCCAGGGAUGCAAGAAUGGUUCAAAAAAUGCAAAUUAAUCAAUGUGAUACAUCUUAUCAACAGCAUGAAGAACAAAAACCAAAUGAUCAUUAAACUAGAAAUUAAUAACAAGAGCAAUUUUGGAAAAUAUACAAACACAUGGAAAUUAAUGCACUUGAAUGAACAGUAGGUCAAUGAAGAAAUCAAGAUGAUAAAAAAAUUAAGAAGCUAAAAACCUUCUGAAUAUAGAACAAACAUAACUCAACACAACAAAAGCCACAUAUGACAGACUCACAGCUAGUAUCAUACUGAAGGGGGAAAAACUGAAAGCCUUUCCUCUGAGAUCUGGAACAUAACAAGGAUGCCAACUGUCACCACUGUUAUUCAACAUAGUACUGGAUGUCCUAGCUACAGCAAUUAGAAAAGAUAAAGAAAUAAAGGACAUCCAAAUUGGAAAGGGAUGGAAACAAGAAUAACAAAUUAUUCUUGUUUGCAGAUGGUAUGAUCUUAUAUUUGGAAAGACCUAAAGACUCCACCAAGAAACUAUUAGAACUGAUAAGCAAAUUCAGUAAAGUUGCAGGAUACAAAAUCAACAUAUAAAAAUUAGUAGCAGUUCUAUAUGCCAAAAGUAAACCAUCUGAAAAAGAAAUCAGGAAACUAAUCUCACUUACAAUAGCUACAAAUAAAAUGAAAUACUUAAGAAUUAACUUGACCAAAGAAGUGAAAGAUCUCUACUUUGAAAACUACAAGGGGGUUUUCAAGAUGGCUGACUAGAAGCAGCUGGUGUGUGUGGCUCUCAUGGAGAGUGAUAUGGUUUGGCUGUGUCCUUAUUCAAAUUUCAAUUUGAAUUGUAUCUCCCAGAAUUCCCAUGUGUUGUGGGAGGAACCCAGGGGGAAGUAAUUGAAUCACAGGAGCCAAUCUUUCCUAUGCUAUUCUCGUGAUAGUGAAUAAGUCUCAUGAGAAUUGAUGGGUUUAUCAGAGGCUUCUGCUUUUGCUUCCUCCUCAUUUUUCUCUUGCCACCUCCAUGUAAGAAGUGCCUUUUGCCUCCCUCCAUGAUUCUGAGGCCUCCCCAGCCAUGUGGAACUGUAAAUCCAAUUAAACCUCUUUUUCUUCCCAGUCUUGGAUAUGUCUUUAUCAGCAGCAUGAAAACAAACUAAUACAGAGAAGAAUGGAACAGGCAAAUAAAUACAGCACCUUCAACUAAAACAUCCAGGUAUAUGCAUCAGGACUAAUCAACGAAACAACUCAACCCAUGGAGCAAGGCAGGAUGAUGGCCCGCAUGGGAGAGAUACUGAGCCAGGGGACCCUCCCCAACUCAGGAAAGCAGUGAGUGAAUGUGUAACCCUGGGAACCCACACUUCUCCCAUGGAUCUUUACAACCCUUGGGUUGAACUCACUCCACCAGGACCUUCAGUCUGACACAAAGAGCUAUGUGGAGUCUUGGCAGAGCAGCCACUCAGGCACAUGAACAGAUCUGGGAGCCUUGGAUACCUGGGCUUUCCAGGAUUCACAGCAAAAGUAACUGCAAUGUCAGCAAAGUGAGAGGUUAGACCCCUGUACACAUCCCUAGGAAAAUGGUUGAAUCCACAGGGCUGAGCAGCAUAGUCUGCAGGUACCUCAUAGGAGAAGACCCACUAAAUUGGAACUCCAACCAGCCACUGAUAGCACUGUUGCACUUCACUGAGACAGAGCUCCUAGCAGGGAGGGGUGGCCUGCCAUCUUUGCCAUUUGGCCAACUUAGUGGUUGCAGCCUUCGGGCUUUGGAGAGUCCAAGCCAACUGGAGGCUGAAGUGGUCCCCCAGCACAGCAUAGCUGUGCUACAAAAACAUGGCCAGAUUGCUUUUUUAAACGUGUCCCAAUCCCAUUCUUCCUCACUGGGCAGGACCUCCAACCAGGGUCUUGAGCCACCCCUACUGGUAGUUUCUGGCUGAUAGAGAUUUAAAACCUCCCUGGGAUGGAGCUCCCAGAGGGAGAGGUGGGCUGCCAUCUUUGCUCUUUGGACAAUUAGCCAUUCCAGCCUUCAGGGUUUAGAGAGUCCCGGCCACCUGGGGGAUGAAAGUGGUCCCCCAGCAGAGCAUAGCUGCUCUGCAAAAACAUGGCCAGACUGCUUUUUAAAGCAGGUGUCCAAUCCCAUUCCUCCUCACUAAGUGGGACCUCCCAACCAGGGUCUCCAGCUACCCUCACCAGUGCUCUCCAGCUGACAGAGAUUUAAAGCCUCCCUGGAAUGCAGUUCCCAAAGGGAGGGCCAGGCUGCCAUCUUUCCUGUUUGGGUUACUUAACCAUUCUGGCCUUCAGGCUUAGGAGAAUCUGAGGUGACCAGGGGCAGUAGCAGACCCCAAGCAUAGCACAGCUGCCCUACAAAAAUGUGACCAGACUGCUUUUUAAAGUGGGUCCCCAAUCCUGUUUCUCCUCACUGGGUGGGAACUCCCAACUGGAGUCUCCAGCCACAUCCUACAGGUACAUUCAGGCUGGCAAUAGGUCUGUACCUCCCUGGGACAAAGCUCCCAGAGGGAGGGGCAGGCCACCAUAUUUGCUGUUUCACAGCCUUCACUGUUGAUACCUCCAGGUACUGGAAAAUCCAAGGUGACUAGGGACUGGAGUGGGCUCCCAGCACACUGCAGCAGCCCUAUAAAAAAGUGGCCAGAUGGUUAUGUGGAUCCCCAUUUCCAUAUCUCCUCACUGGGCAGGUCCUCCAGGCCUUGGCCUCCAGCCAUCCACCACCAGAGCUAUCAAGCCAGUAGCAGCCCUGCAACUCCCUGAACAAAGCCCCCAGGGAAAAUGAAAGCCUCUCUGUCACUGCUUCUGCAGUGGAACUGCCCUUGCUACCCUCGUACUAACAAAGGAGCAAAGACCCUAAGGCCUUAUCCACAACUCCAACAAGCUGCAGUAGACCCAAGAAGAGGAGGCCAGUCUGUCUCCUACAGGACUCAUCCAGCCUCCCUGCUCAUCACCAGACAGGAGGUCUCCAGCGUGGGCCCACAGCACAGACCUUCCAUCCUGGGCUGAUUGCACUGAGCAACUGCUGACCUACAUAUUUCUGGGUGGAGCCCCCAGGAGACAAGCAAAAUACCCUUGGCCAUAACUGCUACUAAGAAUCCUUCCUCUGCUGCCUCCAAGUUGGGGAACACUGCAACUCCAAGUUGGGGAGCAUAAACACUGAAAUUGCCCCAGAGCUUCAGUGGGCAGCCCAGGAGUGCCAAGCUGUGAUCUACAGCCAGCAUUUAAGCGGGAGAGGGACCCACCCUUUCAGAGCAUUGAGAGAGAACAUGGCUGCAACUGUGAGGAAACAAUGAGGAGUGCAGUUGUGAUUCACAGAUUUGGCCUCUUUACAUAAUUCAUACUUCUUGGAGGUUUUUCGGGGAGCCAUACAACUGAGCAAGAGUCUAUCAACUGACCAAUACAUGUAAGUGCCACCUACUGGAUCACAACCCAAAACUUCAACACCCCAAAUACCUCGCUUACAUACCCCACUCUGAAACCAAAGACAAGAAGUCAGCUUCAAAUAAAGAACCUGCACAAAGUCUUGGCUCUGUGAAAACAUACAGAAAAGAGGUCUAUUGACUCAAUCUACACUGCAGUUAAAGGAACAUCCACAUGCAGAGAUGAGAAAGAACCAACACAAGAACUCCAGUAACUCUCAUGGCCAGAGUGUCAUAUGUCCUUCAAACAACUGCACCAGUUUGCCAACAAAAGUUCUUGACCAAGCCAAGCUGGCUGAAAUGAUAGAAAUAGAAUUCAGAAUAUGGAUAGGAAUGAAGAUCAUCGAGAAUCAGGAGAAUGGCAAAACCCAAUCCAAGGAAACUAAGAAUCACAAUAAAAUAAUACAGGAGCUGAAGGACAAAAGAGCUGAUAUAAAAAAGAACCUAAUGGAUCUGACACAGCUGAAUAACACAAAUACAAGAAUUUCACAAUGCAGUUACAAGUAUUAACAGCAGAAUAAACCAAGCUGAGGAAAGAAUCUCAGAACUUGAAAACUGGGUCUCUGAAAUAAGGCAGUCAGACAAAAAUAAAUAAAAUUAAAGAAUAAAAAUGGAUGUUCAAAACCUCCAAGAAGUAUGAAAUUAUGUAAAGAGGCCAAAUCUAUUAAUCACUGGCAUCUCUGAAAGAGAGGGUGAGAAAGUAAGCAACUUGGAAAACAUAUUUUAGGAUAUCUUCCAUGAAAACUUCCCCAACCUUGCUAGAGAGGCCAACAGUCAAAUUCAGAAAAUACAAGAACUCCUGCAAGAUUUUACACAAGAAGAUCAUCCCCAAGACACAUAGUUGUCAGAUUUUCCAAGGUUGAAAUGAAAGAAAGAAUGUUGAAGGCAGCUAGAGAGAAAGGGCAAGUCACCUACAAAGGAAACCCCAUCAGGCUGACAGUAGACCUUUCAGCUGAAACCCUAUAAACCAGAAGAGAUUAGGGGCCUAUAUUCAAUAUUCUUAAAGAAAAAAUAUAUUCAACCAGGAAUUUCAUAUCUAGCCAAACUAAGCUUCCUAAGCAAAGGAGAAAUAAGAUCCUUUUCAGAUAAGCAAAUGUCGAGGGACCUGCCUUUCAAGAGAUCUUGAAGGGAUCACUAAAUAUUGAAAGGAAAUAGUGCUACCAGCUAAAACAGAAACACAUUUAAAUACGCAGACCAGUGGCACUAUAGAGCAACCACAUGAAUAAUCCAGCAUAAUAACCAGCUAACAACACGACAGGAUCAAAUCCACACAUAUUAAUACUAACCUUAAAUGUAAAUGUGCUAAAUGCCCCACUUAAAAGACACAGAGCAGUAAGCUGGAUAAAAAAGUAAGACCCAAUGGUAUGCUGUCUUUGAGAGACCCAUUGGACACAUAAUGACACCCAUAGGUUCAAAAUGAAGGGAUGGGGAAAAAUUUACUAAGCAAAUGGAAUACAGAAAAAAGCAGGAGUUGCAAUCCUGAUUUCAGACAAAACAGACUACAAACCAACAAAGAUCAAAAAAGACAAAGAAGGGCAUUACAUAAUGCUAAAGAGUUCAAUUCAACAAGAAGACCUAACUAUCCUAAAUAUGUAUGCACCCAACACAGGAGUACCCAGAUUCAUGAAGCAAGUUCUUAGAGACCUACAAAAAGAUAUAGACUUCCACACAGUAAUAGUGGGAGACUUCAACACUCUACUGACAGUAUUAGACAGAUCAUCGAGGUAGAAAAUUAACAAAGAUAUUCAGGACCUGAACUCAACAUUGGACCAAAUGGAACUGAUAGACCUCUACAGAACUCUCCAACAAAAAACAACAGAGUAUAAAUUCUUCUCAUCACCACAUGUCACAUGCUAUAAAAUCAACCACAUAAUUGAACAUAAAACAAUCCUCAGAAAUGCAAAAGAACAAACAUCAUACCAAACACACUCUCAGACAACACUGCAAUAAAAAUAGAAGUCAAGACUAAGAAUCACUCAAAACCAUGCAAUUACAUGGAAAUGAAACAACAUGCUCCUGAAUGACUUUUGGGUAAAUAAUGAAAUUAAGGCAGAAAUCAAUACGUUCUUUGAAACUAAUGAGAACAAAGAUACAACAUACCAGAAUAUCUGAGGCACAGCUAAGGCAGUGUUAAGAAGGAAAUUCAUAGCUUAACCUGAAGGAAAUCAAGACACAAAACAUGAUCUCAGAACUUGAAGGUAGGCUCUCUGAAAUAUGACAGUCAAAAAAAAAAAUAAAUAAAAUUUAAGAAAAGAAUAAAAAGAAAUGAACAAAACCUCUGAGAAGUAUGGAAUUAUGUAAAGAGGUCUAAUCUAUGAAUUACUGGCAUCUCUGAAAAAGAAGAGAAUUCAUUCAAAAGUUCAACUAAUGCAAGAGUUGGUUUUUUGAAAAAAAAAUAAGAUAGGCUGCUAGCUAGACUAAUGAAGAAAAUAGAGAAGAUGCAAAUAAACACAAUUAGAAAUGAUGAAGGAAACGUUACCACUGACCCCAUAGAAAUAAAAAAUAACCAUCGGAAACUACUAUGAACACCUCUAUGCACACCAACUGGAAAAUCUAAAAGAGAUGGAUCCAUUUCUGGACACAUACACCCUCCCAAGACUGAACCAGGAAGAAGUUGAUUCCCUGAAUGACCAAUAUCUAGCUCUGAAAUUGCAUCAGUAAUAAAUACUCUAUCAACCAAAAAAAGCCUAGUACCUGAUGGAUUCCCAGCCAAAUUCUACCAGAUGUACAAAGAAGAACUAGUACCAUUCCUACUGAAACUAUUCCAAAAAUUUGAAGAGAAGGGACUCCUCCCCAAUACAUUCUAUGAGGCCAGCAUCACCCUGAUACCAAAACCUCGCAGAGACAACAUUGUACUGAAUGGGCAAAAGCUGGAAGCAUUUCUCUUGAUAGCUGGCAUAAGACAAGGGUGCCUUCUCUCAUCCCUCCUAUUCAACCUGGGGAUGGUUAAUGGGUAUAAAAAUAUAGUUAGGAUGAAUAAGAUCUAGCAUUUGAUAGCAAAACAGAGCAACUAUAGUCAACAAUAAUUUAUGGUACAUUUCAGAAUAUCUAAAAUGGUAAAAUUGGAUUGUUUGUAAAACAACAAAAGGAUAAAUACUUAAGGUGAUGGAUACCAUAUUUACCCUAAUUUGAUUUUUAUACAUUGAAUGUCUGUAUCAAAAUAUCUCAUGUAUUCCAUAAAUAUACACCUACCAUGCACCACAAAAAUUAAAAAUAAAUUUUAAAAUAAUAAUAAAAAAGAAAGUAGAGUUUCCAUAAACCCCCAUUCCCUCCCUGCCCCACCCCUAGUUUCUUCUGUUAUUAACAUCUUGUAUUAGGGUUGCACAUAAUAUUAUAAUUAACUAAUCAAUAUUGAUACAUAAUUAUUAACCAAAAUCCAUAGUUUACAUUAGGAUUCACUCUUUGUGUUGUAUAGUUCUAUGGGUUUUGACAAAUGUGGGAAUGUCAUAUAUCCACCAUUACAGUAUCAUACAGAAGACUUUCUUUGCCCUAAAAAUGACCUGUGCUCCACCUAUUCAUCUCUCCCCCUACCCUAAAAUCUUGGCAACCAGUGAAUUUUUACAGUUUCUAAGUUUCACCUCACCCAGCCUGUCAUAUAGUUGAGAUCAUACAGGAUGUAGCUUUCUCAGACUGCUAUUUUUCACUUAGCAAUAUACAUUCCUUCAUGUCUUUUCAUGGCUUGAUACUUCAUUUCUCUUUUUUCUUUUCUUUUUUUAUAGAGACAGGGGGUCUCACUAUGUUGCCAGGGGUGGUCUCAAACUCCUGGGUUCAAGCAAUCAUCCUGCCUUGGCCUCCCAAAGUUCUGGGAUUACAGACGUGAGUCACUGCAUACGGUCUCAUUUCUUUUCAUCACUGAGAAAUAUGCUAUUGUAUAGAUGUACCAUAGUUUGUUUAUACAUUCACCCAUUGAAGAACAUCUUGGUUGCCUUUAACUUUUGGUAAUUAUGAAUAAAGCUGCUAUAAACAUUCUUAUGGAGGUUUUUGUGUAAACGCACAUUUUCAGUUCAUUUGGGUAAAUGCCUAGGAGCAGAAUUUCUCUAUCAUAUGGUAAGCCUAUGUUUAGCUUUGUAAGAAACUACCACAGUUAUCUUCCAAAGUGCUAUACAAUUUUACAUUCUCCUGAACAGUGAAUGAGGGUUCCAGUUGCUCCACAUGCUCACCAGCAUUUGGUGUUCUCAGUGUUUCAGAUUUUAGCCGUUCUAAUAGGUGUGUAGAAGUAUCUUGUUUUAAUUUUCAGUGCUUUAAUGGCAUAUAAUAUUGAGCAUGUUUUCAUAGGCUUAUUUUCCUAUUUUAGAUCUUAUUUGCUAUUUGCAUAUCUUCUUUGGUGAAUUUGCCAUCUAUACAGCUAUUUUGUCCAUUUUAAAGUUGGGUUGGUUGUUUACUUAUUGUGAGUUUGAAGAGUUUUUUGUAUAUUUUGGAUACAUGUCAUUUAUCAGAUAUGUAUUCUGCAAAUAGUUCCAUCCAGUCUGUGGCUGUGUUCGUUUUAAACAAAUAAAGCUUAAUAACAUGUGUACCUUAUGUAUAUGUGGGAGAUACUCACAAAAAUGAGUAUAUCUCAGAGGUGGCUUUGAAUUCCAGCUUAUGUAGCAUCUUCAACAAACAAUAGCAAAUUUAGAGAAAUGACAAGACAAAGGAAAAAGACUUUGAGUCUCUAAGGGUGGCAAAUUAUAGAAAGGCAAAUAAAUGGUAGAUACAGACUAGUUAAUAAAGCUCAGUACCUAGGUUCCUCUGGUGCUGAUCCCCAGGCUGGUAAGGGGCUGUCCUUCCUGGUAGAAAGGGGAGGAGGGACAGACACAUUGGUGAAUUUAUGUCCUGCUUUUAGGCAAAUAGUGGAAGAGCAGAGAACUCUUCUUAUAUCUGCUUUUUCCCACUUGUCUUCAGCUCAAAAUAAUCCUUAUGCCAAAGUGGCAUAUUCUAGUCACUUACAGUCCUCCCUUUGAACUUUAUUUUUGGAAAGUUUCACAUAUUAAAAGCUGAAUUCGCAGCCCCAUAUCUUAUGGAGCCAGUCUCUUAGUCCUGAGUUCAGUUAAACUCAGGUCAACUGAGUUAGAAAGUUGUGUGUCAUUUCAGGUGGCAGUGUUGCAGGUGGGUUCCCAUCAAAGUUAGGCCUCUGUAUGGUGCAAGCAAACAAGUAUUUAAGUAGAGUCAUUCUAUGGACACAAAAAAACUAAAGGUUAAUCACUGGAAAAAAAUGAUAAAUCAGCUUCUGAGUCCAUAAGGCAGUCACGUGGAGAGUUCUAGAUUUGAUCUCAAAGCCUCUUAGAUGGUGGAAUGAGGAUGGCAGUUUAAAUCUAAUGGGUUUUCCUGGUUUGUGGUUUGACUAUCUCUGGUGAUAUCAUAGCAUGUUCUAGUGAACUUUCUGAGUGGCCCACACAGCAACAGACAUCAAGGUUGUCUGUAUUUGAGCUUUUGUGGUGAUUUAUCUGAAAUUUAUAUCAAGUCAUCCAGCUUUAGCUUUCAGAACUUUAGGAAAAGGGCAGUCAGCUGUUAACGGUUUUAAGUCAGAAAGGUGGGAGACAAUUGGAAAUGCUAGCUUGGAGAGUUGUAGUCAG
Molecule: long non-coding RNA, 17095 nt
Filed under: Homo sapiens (human)
Lineage: Eukaryota; Metazoa; Chordata; Mammalia; Primates; Hominidae
Description: long non-coding RNA NONHSAT194388.1
Source: RNAcentral